Molecule: long non-coding RNA, 274 nt
Organism: Pogoniulus pusillus (Red-fronted tinkerbird)
Lineage: Eukaryota; Metazoa; Chordata; Aves; Piciformes; Lybiidae
Exons: 3
Source: RefSeq, a predicted model, not a curated record
AGAGAGGUUUACUAAGGCUGAGGAAUUCUCCGCUUGUGUUUCUCCUGACCUUGCUCCUUCUCCUGAGAACUGUUCUCCUGUUUAUUGUGAUGGCUGUGUGCUCACUGUGCUGUGUAUAACUUCACACAGGAUCACAUGGAGUUGACCAGACUGACACCUCUCUGAAGGAGCCACAAGUUGUGCAUGUCACACAAGGAACCAGGAAAGUCACACUGCAGGUCUGGCAGCUGGCCUCUCCCAUAAGAAACACUUUCUUAUGAAUUUGAAAAACUCU